This 301-nucleotide ribosomal RNA is filed under the name uncultured bacterium. RNAcentral's name for it is "partial 16S ribosomal RNA". It matches the Rfam family "Bacterial small subunit ribosomal RNA", at positions 509 to 807 of the family's 1533-position model. The record is from RNAcentral.
CAGUCGCCGCGGGAAUACGAAGGGGGCUAGCGUUGUUCGGAUUUACUGGGCGUAAAGGGCGCGUAGGCGGACUGAUAAGUCAGGGGUGAAAUCCCAAGGCUCAACCUCGGAACUGCCUUUGAUACUGUUUGUCUUGAGUUCGAGAGAGGUAAGUGGAACUGCGAGUGUAGAGGUGAAAUUCGUAGAUAUUCGCAAGAACACCAGUGGCGAAGGCGGCUUACUGGCUCGAUACUGACGCUGAGGCGCGAAAGCGUGGGGAGCAAACAGGAUUAGAUACCCGCGUAGUCCCUGUCUCUUAUAC